This 462-nucleotide ribosomal RNA is filed under the name uncultured bacterium. RNAcentral describes it as "partial 16S ribosomal RNA". It matches the Rfam family "Bacterial small subunit ribosomal RNA", at positions 339 to 795 of the family's 1533-position model. The record is from RNAcentral.
CUACGGGUCGCUCCAGUGGGGAAUAUUGGACAAUGGGGGAAACCCUGAUCCAGCAAUGCCGCGUGUGAAGAAGGCCUGCGGGUUGUAAAGCACUUUCGGUUGGGAGGACUGCUUCUAGCACUAAUAUUGUUGGAAGUUGACGUUACCUUCAGAAGAAGCACCGGCUAACUCCGUGCCAGCAGCCGCGGUAAUACGGAGGGUGCAAGCGUAAUCGGAAUUACUGGGCGUAAAGCGCGCGUAGGCGGCUAGAUCAGUCGGGUGUGAAAGCCCCGGGCUUAACCUGGGAACUGCAUCCGAUACUGUCUAGCUUGAGUACAGGAGAGGAGAGUGGAAUUCCACAUGUAGCGGUGAGAUGCGUAGAUAUGUGGAGGAACACCAAUGGCGAAGGCAGCUCUCUGGCCUGAUACUGACGCUGAGGUGCGAAAGCGUGGGGAGCAAACAGGAUUAGAUACCCCGGUAGUC